GUCUACGGCCAUGCCACCCUGAAUAAGCCUGAUCCCAUCUGCUCUCGGAAGCUAAGCAGGGUCGGGCCUGGUUAGAUGGGAGACCACCUAGGAAGACCAGGUGCUAUAGUCG
Molecule: ribosomal RNA, 112 nt
Filed under: Pteropus alecto (black flying fox)
Lineage: Eukaryota; Metazoa; Chordata; Mammalia; Chiroptera; Pteropodidae
Source: RNAcentral